CGAGGCUGACAUGGACACCAAAUGCCUGGCUGGAUGCAGAGCAUCUGCUGGGAAGACCUUCUCCAGAAGAGCACUUGGACACUGUGGCACUGCUGCUGCUGCUCUGGACCUGCUGUGUACCUUGGCUCCACCAGCUGGACAGGAUCAGCUCCAUCAGGCUCCAGGGAUACACGCUGGGGUCUCUUGGUUCUUGCCCUCUGCAAUGUUUCACCUUGUGCCAUGGGGGGCUGCGAACUCCCAAGGGCAAAUGUCCCUGCAUGGGCUUGCCCUGUUCAGGAAACCUGUCUGAGGCUGGGCAGAGGGUUUGUUCAGCAAAGCUGGAGCCACGGUGGGUCUUUUGUGCCAGCACGGGGGUCAGCUGUCAGGGCAUGUUGCAGGCUUGUUGCUAAAUUUUAGGGCGAGGAGAGAAAGAUUGUAAAAGGAUAAUACUCUGUUGGUAAUUUGGACAAAAUUAGUGGCUGUGUAAUCAUCCUAAGUUAAUCAGUGGAUGUGAGAUGAGAGUCCUGCCACAGGGGCUAGGAAGCACCAACCUGCUGAGAGGGAGAGGGUGGCAGCUGAGUGGGAUGCUGCCACAGCCAAGACGAAAGGAGUGAAACUGGGUAUUGGAUUUCUUUGCUAAGAGCUGUGGAUCAGCCAGCUAACGAGGCAGUGGGUUCUGGGGGCACAGGAAGAGCUCAGGACAUGGUUAGUGCUCAUUAGCAGCCAGAGAUGUGAGAGCUGUCAGCGCACUGGCUCUUUGGGCUGGCCCAGCCUUUGAGUGUCCCUGGAAGGAGGGCCAGCACACUGCUCCUGGUGGCACAGCUCCAGCAGCUGCCGGCCGCUCCUCAGCCACAACAGCUGCUCUUGGAGCUGCGAAUGCUAAAGGCUUGAGAAAUUAAUUUUGCCUGUCAAAAAUUCAAAUGUACACGUGUGAACUGUGGUUCAGCAAGGUGUGAACCCAGCUGGCUGCGCUCCAGCUCCGGGAGCGCCGCUCACCGCAGGGGAGAGGAGCCAGCCAGUACCUGCCAGUGUAAGCUGCUAUUGUCUUCCACAUAAAACAUGCCCUUAAUUAAUAGCUAGCAUGAACCUAAGCCACUAUCUCUGUUAUCAAUUUGUGGAUGUGGUUGGAUUGUCUGUCUCCCAGGACAGUAAUAUCCCUUCAUCUUACUGCAAAUUGCUCACAGCAUCCUUCUAUUACACAGGCUUAAUGCUUGAAAAAUAGAGAUUUAAUACUCUACCAUAUCAGACUAAGUGAGGUCAAAGCAAUUCAUGUUCACGAUCCCACAAAGCUCCCUGAUGGUGUUCCUGUGAGGAAUGUGAUGUGCAGGAGGCAAACAGGGAGCUCCUGUCCCGGCUCGCAGCUGUCCCGCACCCGCAGGGCCCAGGACAGCCCCCACAGUGGAAAGGUUGGCUCCUC
Molecule: long non-coding RNA, 1396 nt
Filed under: Junco hyemalis (dark-eyed junco)
Lineage: Eukaryota; Metazoa; Chordata; Aves; Passeriformes; Passerellidae
Description: lncRNA (ENSJHYG00000001689.1)
Source: RNAcentral